This 426-nucleotide ribosomal RNA is filed under the name Acinetobacter baumannii. RNAcentral's name for it is "bacterial SSU rRNA". It matches the Rfam family "Bacterial small subunit ribosomal RNA", at positions 82 to 503 of the family's 1533-position model. Lineage: Bacteria; Pseudomonadati; Pseudomonadota; Gammaproteobacteria; Moraxellales; Moraxellaceae. The record is from RNAcentral.
GCUACUGGACCUAGCGGCGGACGGGUGAGUAAUGCUUAGGAAUCUGCCUAUUAGUGGGGGACAACAUCUCGAAAGGGAUGCUAAUACCGCAUACGUCCUACGGGAGAAAGCAGGGGAUCUUCGGACCUUGCGCUAAUAGAUGAGCCUAAGUCGGAUUAGCUAGUUGGUGGGGUAAAGGCCUACCAAGGCGACGAUCUGUAGCGGGUCUGAGAGGAUGAUCCGCCACACUGGGACUGAGACACGGCCCAGACUCCUACGGGAGGCAGCAGUGGGGAAUAUUGGACAAUGGGGGGAACCCUGAUCCAGCCAUGCCGCGUGUGUGAAGAAGGCCUUAUGGUUGUAAAGCACUUUAAGCGAGGAGGAGGCUACUUUAGUUAAUACCUAGAGAUAGUGGACGUUACUCGCAGAAUAAGCACCGGCUAACUC